Chrysemys picta bellii (western painted turtle) is the source of this 2167-nucleotide non-coding RNA. The record is from RefSeq and is a predicted model, not a curated record. Lineage: Eukaryota; Metazoa; Chordata; Testudines; Emydidae.
AAAGGAGCCAGCUACGCCCACAGGGCGCCCUGAUGACGUCAGAGCGCGCGGGUGGAUGGCGUCUUCCUCGCGCCCCGAGCGGUUGGCGCUCUCGCGAGAUGGGGGCCGGGCCGGGGUGAGCCGUGGAGCCGGACGCAGGGAGGUGGGGUGCGCGCGGCCCCGCUUCCCGCCCGCCCGGGACAUGGCCCCGAGGAGCCGCCCCGCAGUGACCCCCGCGCCGCGCGCCGCCGACAUGCGCAGGAGAGGGGCCCGCAAGCGCCUCAAGUUCCGGGCCGAUGACGUCUGCUCCGAGCGGGUGACGGUGGCGGAUUAUGCCAACUCUGACCCUGCCAUCGUCAAAUCCGGACGCAUGAAAAAAGCUGUGGCCAACGCGGUGCAGCAGGAAGUAAAAUCCCUCUGUGGUUUGGAAGCCUCACGUGUUCCUGCUGAGGAAGUGCUCUCAGUGACUGGGGAAUCCUGUGACAGUAGCGAUGAAAUGGAUGCUAAGGAAAGCACCAACGAGAGAACUGCCUCUAGAAAAAAGAAAAGCAAGAGGCACAAAGAAAACCCUGAUGAGGCUGUUGGAGAGGAUUAUCCCAUUGACAUCUGGCUGUUGCUGGCCUCCUACAUACGUCCAGAAGAUACAGUGAAGUUUUCUCUGAUUUGCAAAAAAGCCUGGACUGUCACUUGCACUGCUGCCUUUUGGACCAGACUCUACAGAAGGCACUACACUCUGGAUGCAUACCUGCCUCUCCGUUUACGGCCAGAAUCGAUGGAAAGGCUGCACUGCCUCCGUGCGUGUGUCAUCCGUUCAUUAUACCACAUGUAUGAACCUUUUGCUUCUCGUGUCUCCAGGAAUCCGGCUGUUCCAGAGACUACCCCUAGCACUUUAAAGAAUUCCAGCGUAAGUAGUAGUGUUUGGGGAAGUGAACUAACCUGUGUUCAGCUGGUACACUCUCUCUGCUUUUUGUUAUUCCCCUUUCAGAGAAAUAAAUCUGAUUCAGAUGGACCCUAGUGAAAUAAAUGCACUGGAUCAGUGAUAUACAUAGGAAGAGUCUGACUUCUGAAGUUUUAUCAGUUACCUCUGUUUGUACAGCCCCUAGCACAAUGGGGUCCUGGUGUGUAGCUCCUAAGCACUCCAGUAAUACAAAUUAGGAAAAUGUCAUUUUACAGUGGUGGAAGCUCGGUCACUGACACAAUCCACAAUUGUCCCCUUCCCUCCUGUACACAACCCAGGUUCCAAAAGGAGUUUGAGCUAGGGAGGCAUUUUUGUCUACUACUUGCACUGUUGUAACUAUAUUAUUUUGGAAUGUUUCUUCUGGGUCAGUGGCAGAGGAUCACAAAUGCCACUGACAGCCUCUAAAAGGACAGUCCUUUCACACCGCGCUCCUGCAGACCAUCACCUUUGGUUUCUCUGAAGGGGGGAGUGUCAUGAGGUGGGGAGCUAGCGUGCGAAGCAAGUGCCUGCUUUGGGGUGUGGCUGUGAAGCUGGGGAGAAAUUGUCUGCUGUGUCAUUGGGCAAAACCAAACUGCAGUCCUUGCUUAGAGCAUUUGUGUAUCUAGCCCUCUUUAGUCACUGUUUAUCAUUAACCCCUAGUUCUGUCUGUUUCUAGCCUGGCUUUAAUUUACUAUUGGCUGACACGUGGCAAGCCAGUUUGGUUUUCGGUCUCAAGGGGAGUGGUUUUGGUUGGACACUAUACCAUUGAUACUCAGACUGAGGCUUGGGAGCCGAGCCAUAGGUGGCUCUUUAAUGUCUCUCUUGCAGCACAUGAUGUUAAAAAACUGUAUCAUUUAAUUAUUAACCAAUCAGGAUGCUUUUACUGUGUUAUUAACCAACUUGUCGAAUACCCGCAGUCAUUUUACUGUGAGAGUAAAUAAAACAAUGAAUUCCCACGACUGUGGCUUUUUGGGGUAAUGUUGAUGGGUGAUUUGGCUCCUGAACCCCUGAGAUCUGAGUAUCACUGCUCUAUGCAAACUACAACAAAUCUAUUUCUUUGCUGUGCGACAUCUCUGCUGCUUCUGUCCUUCCCCAUGUGAAGACACUGCUAAAGUGGCAAGUUACCCUGAGAUAAGACUGAGAACAGCGAGCAGCAACAGCUUGUGUGGGACACUGGAGCCGUUGUGGUGUCAGCAGAAGUGUUUGCCCUUUAAAGACACCCCCAUUAUUUUUGGUGGAGCAGCAGGCCAU